AUGCUGGGCUAAGACAAGGGGCAGAGGCAGAGAGAGAGAGAGGAGCCACCCUGAGAAGGAAGAGACCAGGUGGGCUCUGAGACAGGGAGACCCUUUCUACGUCGGUGCCUUGACAUGUGACUUUUUUGUCACUUCGUGCUCCAGGAUCACACCUGGAUGAACUAUCACUUUCAAAUGACCUUGUCUUUUCUCGGGCCUUCUGAACUGAUCAUCUCUUCCUUCUGAUACAAGAGGAUCUUCCCUGGAAGACCACUGCACACCUUCUAGUAACACUGCGACCCUGGAUGCAUAUUUAGAAAAAUCUCAGCACAUCUCUGGGCAAUGAAAUCAUUCUUUUGGGACCUGACACAUGAACUGAAGUGUAAUUGGCAUUCUUCGUGGAAGGGGCAUGGAUUUAAAUUGUCAUAAUAUUCUACUUUGAAGAACACCAGUAGACCGAAGCAAGAUGACUAAUUUUUAAUGCCAAAGUAUGCAAAACCUGCCACUUCACUGGCAAGCCAUGAAUUAUUCAUAAAUAUAGACUUGG
This 526-nucleotide long non-coding RNA is filed under the name Homo sapiens (human). RNAcentral describes it as "non-protein coding lnc-DHX37-9:5". Lineage: Eukaryota; Metazoa; Chordata; Mammalia; Primates; Hominidae. The record is from RNAcentral.